This 983-nucleotide ribosomal RNA is filed under the name Listeria welshimeri. Its description in RNAcentral is "partial 23S ribosomal RNA". It matches the Rfam family "Bacterial large subunit ribosomal RNA", at positions 1946 to 2925 of the family's 2925-position model. Lineage: Bacteria; Bacillati; Bacillota; Bacilli; Caryophanales; Listeriaceae. The record is from RNAcentral.
CGGUCCUAAGGUAGCGAAAUUCCUUGUCGGGUAAGUUCCGACCCGCACGAAAGGCGCAACGAUCUGGGCACUGUCUCAACGAGAGACUCGGUGAAAUUAUAGUACCUGUGAAGAUGCAGGUUACCCGCGACAGGACGGAAAGACCCCGUGGAGCUUUACUGCAACCUGAUAUGGAAUGUUUGUACCGCUUGUACAGGAUAGGUAGGAGCCGAAGAGACGUGUGCGCUAGCAUACGAGGAGGCAAUGGUGGGAUACUACCCUGGCUGUAUGACCAUUCUAACCCGCCACGCUUAGCGCGUGGGGAGACAGUGUCAGGUGGGCAGUUUGACUGGGGCGGUCGCCUCCUAAAGAGUAACGGAGGCGCCCAAAGGUUCCCUCAGAAUGGAUGGAAAUCAUUCGCAGAGUGUAAAGGCACAAGGGAGCUUGACUGCGAGACUGACAAGUCGAGCAGGGACGAAAGUCGGGCUUAGUGAUCCGGUGGUUCCGCAUGGAAGGGCCAUCGCUCAACGGAUAAAAGCUACCCCGGGGAUAACAGGCUUAUCUCCCCCAAGAGUCCACAUCGACGGGGAGGUUUGGCACCUCGAUGUCGGCUCGUCGCAUCCUGGGGCUGUAGUCGGUCCCAAGGGUUGGGCUGUUCGCCCAUUAAAGCGGCACGCGAGCUGGGUUCAGAACGUCGUGAGACAGUUCGGUCCCUAUCCGUCGCGGGCGCAGGAAAUUUGAGAGGAGCUGUCCUUAGUACGAGAGGACCGGGAUGGACACACCGCUGGUGUACCAGUUGUUCCGCCAGGAGCAUCGCUGGGUAGCUAUGUGUGGCAGGGAUAAACGCUGAAAGCAUCUAAGCGUGAAGCCCCCCUCAAGAUGAGAUUUCCCAUUUCUUCGGAAAGUAAGAUCCCUGAAAGAUGAUCAGGUAGAUAGGUUUGGAGUGGAAGUGUAGCGAUACAUGGAGCGGACAAAUACUAAUCGAUCGAGGACUUAACCAAAAA